UACGUAGGGGGCAAACGUUGUCCGGAUUUAUUGGGCGUAAAGAGCGUGUAGGCGGCCUGACAGGUCUGCUGUGAAAACUCGAGGCUCAACCUCGAGAUGUCGGCGGAAACCGUCUGGCUAGAGUCCGGAAGAGGAGAGUGGAAUUCCUGGUGUAGCGGUGAAAUGUGUAGAGAUCGGGAGGAACACCGGUGGCGAAGGCGGGUCUCUGGGCAAUUCCUGACGCUGAGGCGCGAAAGCGUGGGGAGCAAACGGG
This 253-nucleotide ribosomal RNA is filed under the name uncultured bacterium. RNAcentral's name for it is "partial 16S ribosomal RNA". It matches the Rfam family "Bacterial small subunit ribosomal RNA", at positions 524 to 776 of the family's 1533-position model. The record is from RNAcentral.